GGGCCGAUAGAUCAGUGGUAGAUCGCCGCCCUUGCAAGGCGGAGGCCGUGGGUUCGAAGAGCCUCUCUUUACG
This is a transfer RNA of 73 nucleotides. The stretch from base 7 to 68 matches the Rfam family "tRNA", at positions 7 to 64 of the family's 71-position model. From Rfam's summary of the family: Transfer RNA (tRNA) molecules are approximately 80 nucleotides in length. Their secondary structure includes four short double-helical elements and three loops (D, anti-codon, and T loops).